RNAcentral lists this ribosomal RNA (253 nucleotides) under uncultured bacterium. RNAcentral's name for it is "partial 16S ribosomal RNA". It matches the Rfam family "Bacterial small subunit ribosomal RNA", at positions 524 to 776 of the family's 1533-position model. The record is from RNAcentral.
UACAGAGGGGGCAAGCGUUAUUCGGAAUUAUUGGGCGUAAAGGGCGCGUAGGCGGCCUGACAAGUGGAAGGUGAAAUCCCUCGGCUUAACCGAGGAACUGCCCUCCAAACUGUCUGGCUUGAGACCGGGAGAGGUGAGUGGAAUUCCCAGUGUAGCGGUGAAAUGCGUAGAUAUUGGGAGGAACACCAGUGGCGAAGGCGGCUCACUGGACUGGUAUUGACGCUGAGGUGCGAAAGCGUGGGGAGCAAACAGG